Molecule: non-coding RNA, 237 nt
Filed under: Pseudomonadota bacterium
Lineage: Bacteria; Pseudomonadati; Pseudomonadota
Description: Proteobacteria bacterium (freshwater sediment metagenome) 6S RNA
Rfam family: 6S / SsrS RNA
About the family: E. coli 6S RNA was the first non coding RNA to be sequenced, but its function was unknown until recently. It consists of 184 nucleotides that fold into an extended hairpin structure with a large single-stranded internal bulge. The 6S RNA specifically associates with RNA polymerase holoenzyme containing the sigma70 specificity factor.
Source: RNAcentral
UUCCCCCUGCGCGGUGCGUGCUUGGGCGUCGUACACAUUUUAGAACCGUCGAUGCCAUUUUUGGGGAUUGUUCCUUGCCGCGGUGAGCAUGCCGAGCACUCAACUUGUAACGGCGCAUAAUAAUGAUUUCAGGCCGUUAUAAGUUGAGUGCUCGGAAGCCUGAAACGGCAAUACGGUCACCCACCUGACUGAGUCGGGUUCAAAAUGGUGACGCCACACGGCCAUUGUGGGGGGAUU